Molecule: ribosomal RNA, 119 nt
Filed under: Delphinapterus leucas (beluga whale)
Lineage: Eukaryota; Metazoa; Chordata; Mammalia; Artiodactyla; Monodontidae
Source: RNAcentral
GUCUAUGGCCAUACCACCCUGAAUGUGUCCGAUGUCGUCUGAUCUCGGAAGCUAAGCAGGGUUGGGCCCAGUUAGUACCUGGAUGGGGGACCGCCUGGGAAUACCAGGUGCUGUAGGCU